CCCGCCGCCGCCGCCCGUCCUGCUCCCUUCCUCUCUGUCUCCUCCCCUCCCAUCGCCCAUCCGCCCUGGCCCAUCUCCUCCCCGCCUGCCGAGCAGACGCGGCCACUCAUGCCGCUGCUCUACCGGAGGAGUGUGCCACAAAAGCGGCCGAGCGCGAGGUGCCGGCAGACCGAACCGGUGGCCGCCGCCAUGGGGACCGACGAGGACAUCAUGAUGAGGUUGUCGCUGCAUCCAUAGCAGAGGGGAUCCGGCCGGCAUGCCGCGUCAAACCCUGCUCGAAGCCUGCAUCUACUACCUCGCCAGGUGACAGGAGGGGGAAGCUCAAACAGGAAAUUGCUGAAAUCACAAAGGAGCAUGGAAAGAUCGAUGAGGCUACUGAAAUCAAGCAAGAAGUUGUUUAGGAAAUGCAUUGGACUAUCCACUCUACAGCGUGGAUUGGGUGGCCAGACUCCACAUCUGUGUAUCUCUCUUGUGGCAUUAUUGUGGUGGUCUUGAAAUUGGCCCUGUCAAGCUUAUACACAUGGUUCUCGUUGAUGAGUGAUGCCCAUAGGAUAGCUCCAUCAGAGAAAACACCUCCAUACACCCCUCUGCAGCCAUGAACAAACACAAUGGAUUGUGUGCAUCUUCUAAAGAAACAGGAAAGGGAAGCGUUGUCUGUAGAUCACUUUUCCCUUGAAAAAAAUAGACAGCGACGAGCUUACCAUCGUCGUUACAAUCGAAUCGAGGGGAACCCCUUUGCUGUGUUGCUCUACAAAAAAACACCUCAAAGUUUCACACCUUUUGGAUCCUACCUUUUUGUACCUGCUCAAGACCUGUUAUUCAGCUCAUGUGCAUAUUAUGACCCGUGUCAUCUGUCAGUGUUUCUAAAUGUUGUAUCUGGAGCAUUGGCAUCUCUAGCCGAGCCGCGCAAGCAGAAAGCGGAGCAGGAGCAGCUCGGGGACGAAGCCAAGGUCUAAAAUGCCGAAUCUCCCAAUAAAGUGGUACUGUAUACCGUUCACUCUGCAUCUUCUACCUCAACCAGAAUAUAGCUACCAAACACAUCAAUCUUCUACUGAAUCAUGCACUGGACUUGCACUAACUAUGUUGAUGUUUGUUUUUCCGUGGGAAGCAAAAUUCAUUUCUGUUAAAUUAAUGCAAGGUAACCAGACCCACCUUUGCAUAUAUAUUUUAGUUGAAAGAGAAUUGAACCAUAUAUGCUGGGUGCCAAUAAAGUUAUCUAUUGGUUCCUUCUGUUGCUUUAUUCGGCUUCUAUUGGUUGUGUUUCUCACGAAAACUAACUUAUGUUGAGUUUCUAUUGGUUGUGUCACUUUCCAGGUUGAGUUGAGCAUAUGUAUACCUAUCUCAGUCGGCGAAAAUAAUUAUGUGUGGUUUCAUGGACCCUUACCUUAUUGAUGGGCACCACACAGAGCUUGAGGAGAUGUAGGCCAGCGUGCCACCUCUUACGCUUUUCAUGUAACCGCUGAGCCGCCUUCUUUGCUUCAGAGGCUUCUUGUGUCACCAUAGGUUUGUGAUUCUUAUAUGUUGCCCAUAUUGUAGGCCAUGUAGAAUACUAAGAUAAAAUAAUUUUAAUUUUAUCUUUUAUAUUCUUUUAUGUUAAAGAGGCUACAAUGUAUCCAGAUCAUUGUAUAUUUUCCAGAGUGAUUCUCCUUCAUAUAGACUAAAUUAUUUUCUCCCUGUCCAUGAGAUGCACUAUUUGAAUAGUUUGCCUAACACGAUAUGUCCUUAUCCAUAUCCAUAUCCGUGUGUCACAACAUGCAAGCAAAUAAAAUGAAGGAGUGUGGACAAAGUUAUAUAUCAAGCAAAUCGAAUGAAGGUGUGUGGACAAAGUUAUAUAUCCAAUAGUCAACCAUGUAGUUUACUAUUGUGCAGUAUGAAAAACAGUGUAAAUAAGUUAUCUGAGACUAAUACUAUGGCCUGCUUUUGGUUUCUAUCAUACCAAAUGAUUGCUUUGGUAUUUCAUGUCACAUUGUAUAACAAAUGCGCCGAUGGCAUGUAGAUAGGGCCAUUUUUUAGAUAUUUUACGGGGUGAUUACUGUUGUGAGUAUCUACCAUCACCUACUCUAUGAGUAAUAUCAUAUAUAUUUCCAUCCUGGGGUAUAUUGAGUACUAUCAGAUGUUAAUCGAAAAAGAGCUAUAUCAGGGAUUUGAUCAUUGAGCUUUUUUGAUUAAUUCCUUGAUACAUUUCCAUCCUGAUAUAGUCUCUGCAUUUCCAUCCUUAAUAGACACACGCAUGUGGGAGUUGGGUUUCGGCAAGUAGCACCUCUUCGAUUAAGUUGUCCCGUUACAUGUGCUAAACUUGCUAUACUACUAAUGCAUCAUGCGGCUUGAUCUUCACUGCUUGGUCAUAUCGGUUGGACCGGCAUCCUCGCGCCUAGGCGCGUUGCCGAUCUAGUUAUGCUUAUAUAAGGUAGGAGUUAUGUCCUAAUAGGACACUUGUAUCCAUGGGUUCCUAUAUAUUGUGAGGGUAGACGCUAGAUGUAACCGAUGGAACAUAAUAGCACAGGUACGCAAGCGGAACCGGCGGCGUGUGCCAGCGCCUGGGUGGCCGGUGUGUGAUAUUGUGACGGUGUCAUGAGGAGCAGCGCCCGUAGUCAUGCCCUAGGGAUGUACCCAUGUUGUUGAACCUCGUUAACAAAUUUCGUUGUCGUGCCUUAUGUGAUUGGCUGGUUGCUUGAUCCUCGGUGGAUCAACGGUGACCUCGGAUUAUUCUAACAUGAAUCAUAAGAAGUAUUGCUUUAUUGCGAAGAACAAAAGGUGCUACGAUAUGCAAUGUUGCUUCUUACAAUGGGAUGCCCCUGCAAAAUAAAACACAUAUGGCCCCUGUGUAUGAUUGUGGGUUUGGACCCACCCAUCAUAGACAGCGCGUAUGUCAAAACUGUGCAAGUAAAUUUUUUGUGGGGACAAAUACAAGUAUGCCACCGAGUUCAAUAUUCAUCGCAACAAUUUCAGAGGAAAAAGGAAGCAAACCUGUAUCAUUAUUAGACAUCUCAAAGUAAGAAUGUGUGUUUGGAAGAUAACUAUUAACACUUCACAUGUGAAAGUAGACACAUGUAUGUAUAUGUAUCUAUGUACUCAUACAUAUAUAUAGCCUCACAAAUCCAUGUCGCCAACUUCGCCCUAGGCUCCUCCAAAACAUAGAACAUAGUGCAAAGAAUCGAUAAACAAUGUCAAAACAUAUAUAUGACAUGUGGACUCACACCCCACGCAUCAUAUACAUGGCGUAUGUCAAAACCAUGCAUUAACCACAUAGUUAAAGAAAGGCAAAUCCUUAUAAUUUUGCAUGUAACCACAUAGUUAUUUUCCUCAACUAUGAAAAUCAAUGGCGCCUUCUUACUGCUACAUCUGUGCAAUGUCCUUGUUAUACUGAUCUAUCCAUCCAUGUAUGAUCUCAAUUUCCUGUCUCCUUUGUUCUACAACCCAGUCUGGGUCAUCCUUGGUUGCAGAUCUGAAGUCCAAAUGAUGGGCCCCUGAAAAUCACCAUCACAAAACGUAGCCCGCAUAAGAUUUUACCUGCCAGCCCCAGCCGCUGAGGCCAUGGGGGUCAUCCCCACCUUCCACCUGGAAGCACUUCUGGUCGCCUGUGUAAUUGUAGUACAAGCUCGCCGCUGCGAAAGCUUUUUCGACGACGUCUGCUCCCGCGGGGAAAGAAUCAAUGAUCUUGCACAUCUGUAGAAAUGUCAGGAGAAUUACAUGCUCAGCAGAAGAGAAUAAAAAGCAGGUCCUGUUUUUGCAUGACUCAGUUUGGUAACUCUGGAACUCUUGUUUCUCUGCUCGUUCACUUGAUAUAAUUCAGGCAAAAGUAAGGGUUGUUAAUUAGGUUACAAGUGGCUAACCUCUUUGACAGGGUAAGCAGGCAGAUUUUGCAGGAAAUUGGCUGGAGUUGGAUAGUCCGUCAUGGCCGUGUAGGUGAAUGCCGUAUAUAGAAAGUUGGUCAGCGAAUCAGCGGACUGCACGGUCCUAAAAGUUGAGGGAUAACACAAUAUCAUAAACCCGAGUCAUCGCCAUUAGUUCAGAUAUGGCGCUCUUCAUUAGUUCACCCCACUCGGGCAAUCUUAUCAAGAUGAGGUUUUCAUGUUCAGACAUGUAUGCAACUGAGCUGAGUGUCUAUGUCAGUAGCAAAUCUAUCCUUUGGACUUAAUGUACAUCUUAUCAAGAAUCUCUUAUCCUGCAAGUCAUCUUUUUUCAUGUA
Long non-coding RNA from Triticum dicoccoides, 4189 nucleotides. RefSeq lists it as uncharacterized. The transcript has 9 exons. Lineage: Eukaryota; Viridiplantae; Streptophyta; Magnoliopsida; Poales; Poaceae. The record is from RefSeq and is a predicted model, not a curated record.